GAACGCAUAUUGCGCUCUCUGGUAUUCCGGAGAGCAUGCUUGUUUGAGUAUCAGUAAACACCUCAACUCCCCUUUCUUUUUUUGAAAUGGGAGCUGGACUUGAGUGAUCCCAACGCUUUUCUCACCGAAAAGUGGCGGGUUACUUGAAAUGCAGGGGCGGCUGGACAUUCUCCUGAGCUAAAAGCAUAUUUAUUUAGUUCCGUCAAACGGAUUAUUACUUUUGCUGCAGCUAACAUAAAGGGAGUUUGACCGUAUUGGCUGACUGAUGCAGGAUUUCACAAGGGUCGGCAACGAUUCUUGUAAAACUCGAUCUCAAAUCAAGUAAGACUACCCGCUGAACUUAAG
RNAcentral lists this unclassified non-coding RNA (345 nucleotides) under uncultured Mortierellales. Its description in RNAcentral is "sequence contains 5.8S rRNA gene". The stretch from base 1 to 53 matches the Rfam family "5.8S ribosomal RNA", at positions 102 to 154 of the family's 154-position model. The record is from RNAcentral. Lineage: Eukaryota; Fungi; Mortierellomycota; Mortierellomycetes; Mortierellales.